AGGAAGAGAGCCUCGGAUCUGUGUCCAGCCCUUCAGAGAGAGAGAUGUGCUGAAUCAGCUUGUGUGGAAUAACUGGCCAAGCCAGAUGGGGUGGUACAACUCCCUUGGCCUGAGCACAUCUAAAGAUGAAUCAAAGAGGCGAUGAGGUAGUGGCAGCAGGCAGGGGUAGAAGGAUGUUGGCACCUUUAGCUUCUCAUGGGUCGUACAGUUUUCAGUCAAUUGGAGCCCCUGUUCAGUGAGGAUGACAGAAGCUUCUAGAAUCAUUGUAGGAAGAUGGCCAGUAAAAGAUAGGUUGGAGAUCAGAACUGCUUCACUUUCUCCAUUGAACAAUUUCUCCUGAGGUUUAGUGCCCAUGUUAUGAUUACAGGUUCAGUGUCUAGCUCCCUAACUUGCUUCUACAGAUUCGCCUAAUGGCUGUGUGUUGGCUGAUGGUCACAGGUGCUGGGAAUAUUAGGAUGUAUCGCUAGCUCAUCUCCUCCUCUGUUCCAGCCAUCCCUCCUUGUUUCUUGUUUUCUCACCAACUAGACCAGAGGCUCCUCUAGGCUCCCCCACGUUUUCCUGUUUCAACGCUUGGGCCCACGAGAAGCUCAGUACCAGUGGGAACACAGCGGGAAGGGAACAGGACUCAUGGACCUGCAGUGGAUCCGCUCACCUUUGUCUCAGUCGUGUGUGGAAACUAACCAGGUAGAGAAUAGUUUUUGACUUGGCUUUAAGCAGAAUCCCACGGCAUCUUCUAGGUUGGCCGUGAAUGGAGGGAACAGCAAGGCCAGACCAUGGUGAGGGGUGAGCAGGGGCCUCUGAAGCAGCUAUUGAUGAUUAACCAGUGAGGAUCGCUGACCACUGCACCUUGUCACAUUCACGUGUCUGGACAGGUGAGGGCUGCUUUGCCCUAGUCAAUACUGAGAACAUAAACCCUCGUUUGUUACUGCUCAGCUGGACUUUCCUGGUGAUACUGAAAGCCCUUAGGAGGUAAAACAGCUAAUGUUUAGGCUACUUAGUAUCUUAAUUCUAUAGUU
Molecule: long non-coding RNA, 1016 nt
Filed under: Mus spicilegus (steppe mouse)
Lineage: Eukaryota; Metazoa; Chordata; Mammalia; Rodentia; Muridae
Description: lncRNA (ENSMSIG00000012920.1)
Source: RNAcentral